RNAcentral lists this ribosomal RNA (465 nucleotides) under uncultured bacterium. RNAcentral describes it as "partial 16S ribosomal RNA". It matches the Rfam family "Bacterial small subunit ribosomal RNA", at positions 29 to 507 of the family's 1533-position model. The record is from RNAcentral.
ACGCACGCUGGCGGCGUGCUUCACACCUGCAAGUCGAACGGAAAGGCCCAGCUUGCUGGGUACUCGAGUGGCGAACGGGUGAGUAACACGUGGGUGAUCUGCCCCUGACUUUGGGAUAAGCCUGGGAAACUGGGUCUAAUACCGGAUAUGACCUUACAUCGCAUGGUGUUUGGUGGAAAGCUUUUGCGGUUGGGGAUGGGCCCGCGGCCUAUCAGCUUGUUGGUGGGGUAAUGGCCUACCAAGGCGACGACGGGUAGCCGACCUGAGAGGGUGAUCGGCCACACUGGGACUGAGACACGGCCCAGACUCCUACGGGAGGCAGCAGUGGGGAAUAUUGCACAAUGGGCGCAAGCCUGAUGCAGCGACGCCGCGUGAGGGAUGACGGCCUUCGGGUUGUAAACCUCUUUCACCAGGGACGAAGCGUGAGUGACGGUACCUGGAGAAGAAGCACCGGCCAACUACGUG